RNAcentral lists this long non-coding RNA (311 nucleotides) under Monodelphis domestica (gray short-tailed opossum). RNAcentral describes it as "lncRNA (ENSMODG00000033722.2)". The record is from RNAcentral. Lineage: Eukaryota; Metazoa; Chordata; Mammalia; Didelphimorphia; Didelphidae.
AGUUAGGUUCAACCUAUCAAUCAAGGUCACAGUUAAAAGCAUUUAUUAGACACAUAACUCUUGCCAGGUACUGUGCUGGGAACAGAAGAUAUAGAAGCAACAAUGAGUCAGUCUUUCAGUCUUUGCCCUUAAGAUAUUAAUAUUCCACCAGAAGGACAAAUGUUCACAGGUACACAUUAGGGAGAAGAGAGUAAAGGGCUGUAAGAAACAAGUCCAGCUGGGAGAACUUAAAAAUGUGGACAGAUACACUUCAAGAAACAGAAGAUGGGAACAACCCUUGGAUAGGUCACUUCUAUAAUAUGCACCCAGAC